RNAcentral lists this ribosomal RNA (732 nucleotides) under Triticum aestivum (bread wheat). RNAcentral describes it as "partial small subunit ribosomal RNA". Lineage: Eukaryota; Viridiplantae; Streptophyta; Magnoliopsida; Poales; Poaceae. The record is from RNAcentral.
AUGGCAGCAUCCAAGCUCACCCCCACCUUGCCCGUCUCUUCCCUCGCCCUCGCUGCCUCACGCUCGCCCGGCCAGCUGCGUUCCCCGGCCCUUCGCCCGCCGCCGACGACUGGAGCUGACACGGGCUUGAGCUGGAUUUCAUCAAACAGCGUUGGCCGCGGCACGACCGUGUCGUGCGCUACUGCUGUCGACGGCCAGGACACCACCAUCCAUGACCACGGAAGCAGGUGGAAACCAACUGUCUGUGUGGUACUUGGGGAGCUCAUCAACACAGGAACUAUACUAUUAGGCAAGGUAGUAGUUGAUGGCGGCAUGUUUGUAUUCUCAUUGCUCUGUUAUAGAAGCAUUCUAGGUGUCGUUUUCAUCUUGCCAUUUGCCCUACUCCUCGAAAGAGGGAAGUGGAAAGAAUUGGAUACAAAGGCUCUUGUGUGGCUCUCCAUCAAUGCUUUUGUCGGAUACUCGUUGCCUAUGGCAAUGUAUUACUAUGGGCUACAUGACACAAGCGCCUCCUACGGUGUGAUCUUCUCAAGUUUGACUCCGCUCUUCACGGUUGUCCUGUCAAUAUUUCUUGGUAUGGAGAGCUUGCGCCUCAAAUCCAACGAGGGUAGUGCGAAGGUGGUUGGUGCAUUGUUAUGUUUUGGUGGGGCUUUGCUGAUUAGCCUGUACAAUGGAAAGGAACUGCAUCUCUUUACCCCGGUUAUAAAGGCAUCACUAAGAGUUCUAAUGGAGUAG